AACGAACGCUGGCGGCAGGCUUAACACAUGCAAGUCGAGCGCAUCCUUCGGGGUGAGCGGCAGACGGGUGAGUAACGCGUGGGAACGUACCCUUUCCUACGGACUAGCUCCGGGAAACUGGAAUUAAUACCGUAUACGCCCUUAGGGGGAAAGAUUUAUCGGGGAAGGAUCGGCCCGCGUUGGAUUAGCUAGUUGGUGGGGUAAAGGCCUACCAAGGCGACGAUCCAUAGCUGGUCUGAGAGGAUGAUCAGCCACAUUGGGAGUGAGACACGGCCCAAACUCCUACGAGAGGCAGCAGUGGGGAAUAUUGGGCAAUGGGCGCAAGCCUGAUCCAGCCAUGCCGCGUGAGUGAUGAAGGCCUUAGGGUUGUAAAGCUCUUUCAGUAGGGAAGAUAAUGACGGUACCUACAGAAGAAGCCCCGGCUAACUUCGUGCCAGCAGCCGCGGUAA
RNAcentral lists this ribosomal RNA (449 nucleotides) under uncultured bacterium. RNAcentral's name for it is "partial 16S ribosomal RNA". It matches the Rfam family "Bacterial small subunit ribosomal RNA", at positions 29 to 523 of the family's 1533-position model. The record is from RNAcentral.